This 486-nucleotide ribosomal RNA is filed under the name Starmerella etchellsii. RNAcentral's name for it is "partial 26S ribosomal RNA". It matches the Rfam family "Eukaryotic large subunit ribosomal RNA", at positions 62 to 652 of the family's 3401-position model. The record is from RNAcentral. Lineage: Eukaryota; Fungi; Ascomycota; Dipodascomycetes; Dipodascales; Trichomonascaceae.
AAACCAACAGGGAUUGCCCUAGUAACGGCGAGUGAACAGGCAAGAGCUCAGAUUUGAAAGCCUUUUUGGCAUUGUAUUCUGAAGUCAGUUUCCUGAGUAUCGGUGUUUAAGUCUUCUGGAAAGGAGCGCCAUGGAGGGUGAUAGCCCCGUACGACACCUCACUCAUUGUAGGAUUCUGACGUGGAGUCGAGUUGUUUGGGAAUGCAGCUCAAAAGGGUGGUAUGCUCCAUCUAAAGCUAAAUAUCUGUGAGAGACCGAUAGCGAACAAGUACUGUGAAGGAAAGAUGAAAAGAACUUUGAAAAGAGAGUGAAAAAGUACGUGAAAUUGUUGAAAUGGAAGGAUAUGCCGCUAACAAUGUAGAGCCGUGUUUGGGGGGAAGACAAAAGCUGAAGAAUGUAUCUCUUUUAGGGAAUUAUAACUUCAGUCAAUAUUCCCAUCCGGGCGCGAGGACCUCAGGCUCUACUAAAUGGUGGUCUAUCACCCGU